This 3047-nucleotide ribosomal RNA is filed under the name Photorhabdus luminescens. RNAcentral's name for it is "bacterial LSU rRNA". It matches the Rfam family "Bacterial large subunit ribosomal RNA". Lineage: Bacteria; Pseudomonadati; Pseudomonadota; Gammaproteobacteria; Enterobacterales; Morganellaceae. The record is from RNAcentral.
GGGUUGUGAGGUUAAGCGAAUAAGCGUACACGGUGGAUGCCUAGGCAGUCAGAGGCGAUGAAGGACGUGCUAAUCUGCGAAAAGCGUCGGUAAGCUGAUAUGAAGCGCCAUAACCGGCGAUGUCCGAAUGGGGAAACCCAGUGCGAUGCGUCGCACUAUCAUUAACUGAAUCCAUAGGUUAAUGAGGCGAACCGGGGGAACUGAAACAUCUCAGUACCCCGAGGAAAAGAAAUCAACCGAGAUUCCCCCAGUAGCGGCGAGCGAACGGGGAGCAGCCCAGAACCAGCAUCAGCGAUGCCAUCAGAGGAACGGUCUGGAAAGGCCGGCGAGAGAGGGUGACAGCCCCGUACUCGAAGGUGGCAUGGCUGUGAGUUCGACGAGUAAGGCGGGACACGAGAAAUCCUGUCUGAAGAGGGGGGGACCAUCCUCCAAGGCUAAAUACUCCUGACUGACCGAUAGUGAACCAGUACCGUGAGGGAAAGGCGAAAAGAACCCCGGCGAGGGGAGUGAAAGAGAACCUGAAACCGUGUACGUACAAGCAGUGGGAGCCCCACCACCAAAGCGUUUCGCUUUGCGUGGCGCACAAAAUGCGUAACGUCAUCUCAGAUGACGGUUGGCGGAGCGGCAGCGACGCCCAACACACUAACAAGCAGUGGAGCGUUUUGGGGUGGGGUGACUGCGUACCUUUUGUAUAAUGGGUCAGCGACUUAUAUUCUGUAGCAAGGUUAACCGCAUAGGGGAGCCGCAGGGAAACCGAGUCUUAACUGGGCGAAUAAGUUGCAGGGUAUAGACCCGAAACCCGGUGAGCUAGCCAUGGGCAGGUUGAAGGUUGGGUAACACUAACUGGAGGACCGAACCGACUAAUGUUGAAAAAUUAGCGGAUGACCUGUGGCUGGGGGUGAAAGGCCAAUCAAACCGGGAGAUAGCUGGUUCUCCCCGAAAGCUAUUUAGGUAGCGCCUCGUGAAGUCAUCUUCGGGGGUAGAGCACUGUUUCGGCUAGGGGGCCAUCCCGGCUUACCAACCCGAUGCAAACUGCGAAUACCGAAGAAUGUUAUCACGGGAGACACACGGCGGGUGCUAACGUCCGUCGUGAAGAGGGAAACAACCCAGACCGCCAGCUAAGGUCCCGAAGUCAUGGUUAAGUGGGAAACGAUGUGGGAAGGCCCAGACAGCCAGGAUGUUGGCUUAGAAGCAGCCAUCAUUGAAAGAAAGCGUAAUAGCUCACUGGUCGAGUCGGCCUGCGCGGAAGAUGUAACGGGGCUAAACCAUGCGCCGAAGCUGCGGCAAUGACAUUCAGGUGUUAUUGGGUAGGGGAGCGUUCUGUAAGCCGUUGAAGGUGGCGCUGUGAGGCCCGCUGGAGGUAUCAGAAGUGCGAAUGCUGACAUAAGUAACGAUAAAGCGGGUGAAAAACCCGCUCGCCGGAAGACCAAGGGUUCCUGUCCAACGUUAAUCGGGGCAGGGUGAGUCGACCCCUAAGGCGAGGCCGAACGGCGUAGCUGAUGGGAAACAGGUUAAUAUUCCUGUACUGAAUGUGACUGCGAAGGGGGGACGGAGAAGGCUAGGCCAUCCGGGCGACGGUCGUCCCGGUUUAAGCGUGUAGGUGGGAGGAGCAGGCAAAUCCGCUCUUCUGUAACACUGAGGCGUGAUGACGAGCUGCUACGGCAGUGAAGUGGCUGAUGCCCGGCUUCCAGGAAAAGCCUCUAAGCAUCAGGUGACAUUGAAUCGUACCCCAAACCGACACAGGUGGUCAGGUAGAGAAUACUCAGGCGCUUGAGAGAACUCGGGUGAAGGAACUAGGCAAAAUGGUGCCGUAACUUCGGGAGAAGGCACGCUGGCGGUAGGUGAGGGGCUUUGCGCCCGGAGCCGAAGCCAGUCGCAGAGACCAGCUGGCUGCAACUGUUUAUUAAAAACACAGCACUGUGCAAACACGUAAGUGGACGUAUACGGUGUGACGCCUGCCCGGUGCUGGAAGGUUAAUUGAUGGGGUUAGCCGCAAGGCGAGGCUCUUGAUCGAAGCCCCAGUAAACGGCGGCCGUAACUAUAACGGUCCUAAGGUAGCGAAAUUCCUUGUCGGGUAAGUUCCGACCUGCACGAAUGGCGUAAUGAUGGCCAGGCUGUCUCCACCCGAGACUCAGUGAAAUUGAACUCGCUGUGAAGAUGCAGUGUCCCCGCGGCAAGACGGAAAGACCCCGUGAACCUUUACUAUAGCUUGACGCUGAACAUGGAGCCUUGAUGUGUAGGAUAGGUGGGAGGCCUGGAAGUGCGGACGCCAGUCUGCAUGGAGCCAUCCUUGAAAUACCACCCUUGAAUGCUCGAUGUUCUCACUUAAGCCCGUCAUCCGGGCUGAGGACAGUGUCUGGCGGGUAGUUUGACUGGGGCGGUCUCCUCCCAAAGCGUAACGGAGGAGCACGAAGGUUGGCUAAUCACGGUCGGACAUCGUGAGGUUAGUGCAAAGGCAGAAGCCAGCUUAACUGCGAGAGUGACGGCUCGAGCAGGUACGAAAGUAGGUCUUAGUGAUCCGGUGGUUCUGAAUGGAAGGGCCAUCGCUCAACGGAUAAAAGGUACUCCGGGGAUAACAGGCUGAUACCGCCCAAGAGUUCAUAUCGACGGCGGUGUUUGGCACCUCGAUGUCGGCUCAUCACAUCCUGGGGCUGAAGUAGGUCCCAAGGGUAUGGCUGUUCGCCAUUUAAAGUGGUACGCGAGCUGGGUUUAGAACGUCGUGAGACAGUUCGGUCCCUAUCUGCCGUGGGCGCAGGAAGAUUGAAAGGGGCUGCUCCUAGUACGAGAGGACCGGAGUGGACGCACCGCUGGUGUACGGGUUGUCAUGCCAAUGGCAUCGCCCGGUAGCUAAGUGCGGGAGAGAUAACCGCUGAAAGCAUCUAAGCGGGAAACUUGCCUUGAGAUGAGUCUUCCCUUGACUUAGAGUCACGGAAGGAACGUUUAAGACGAAGACGUGGAUAGGCUGGGUGUGUAAGCGCAGCGAUGCGUUGAGCUGACCAGUACUAAUGAACCGAGCGGCUUAACCUUACAACGCCGAAGGGGUUUUG